UACGGAGGGUGCAAGCGUUAUCCGGAUUCACUGGGUUUAAAGGGUGUGUAGGCGGGUUUUUAAGUCAGGGGUGAAAUCCUACAGCUUAACUGUAGAACUGCCAUUGAUACUAUUAAUCUUGAAUAUUGUUGAGGUAGGCGGAGUACAUCAUGUAGCGGUGAAAUGUGUAGAUAUAUGGAAGAACACCAAUAACGGCGAAGGCAGUUAACUAUUCUGUUACUGACAUUGAGGCACGAAAGCGUGGGGAGCAAACAGG
This 256-nucleotide ribosomal RNA is filed under the name uncultured bacterium. RNAcentral's name for it is "partial 16S ribosomal RNA". It matches the Rfam family "Bacterial small subunit ribosomal RNA", at positions 524 to 776 of the family's 1533-position model. The record is from RNAcentral.